GGUUUCUUAUUAUGACUCUUAAAAGCCAUGGAGCAUAUAAGCAGCACACACACAAUCCAUUCACUGUGUGAACUUUCUGGCUGAUUACACUGAAUUUCAGUUGAUUUUUCUCGGUUUGUCCUCAUGUAACUGAGCUUGCUGCAGCUUUUUCUUUUUUUUACCCACAUGACAUGCAGCUUUAAAUCCUGGACAGAAAUGUGAUCAACAUGCGAGAAACAUCUGAGCAGUUUACAGAACUGAGCACUUCCCGCUACUUUAAAUAAAGCAGCAACCACGACACGCAGAGAGAGCCACGCUCUUCGGCUUUGUAAUCACAGAGGCUGUGAACAUUUCCUGGUUCUUCUAUGAAGCCGUGCUACAGGCAGCUUGUCAGUGCAACGAGGAUGUUCUACCUGAGAUGAGCUGAAGUCGACUUUUAUCCGUUUUUUUGUCCUCACAUCCAUCCCUCUCUGCUUUACCAGCAGCAAGAUCCUUUAUUCAACAAUGAUGCUCCUCACUGUGAAGACCUAUCCAGCUUUGGUAUGGAGCGUUUGUGUGUUGUUUGCCGUGGAGUCCCUGACUGCUCCCACACCAGAAGCCGACGACAUUAACCUCACUGUUGACUCUGUGACUGAAGUUUACGUUGAGGAAGAGUUGCGGCCUACAACCCGGGCUGCGACUCCCAAACCUGCAGAAGUAGGUGUUGCUGCAGCAACAAAGAACACAGUGCAACCCGCAGUGGAAACUCCAGAAACCAACCGUUCAAGUGACAGCGCGGUUGGUUUGGUUGUCAAGAGCACUGCAGCAGCAACACCAGCAGCAGCAAGACCAGCAGCAGCAGCACCAGCAACUCCAGCAGCAGCAACAACAGCAGCAAC
This is a long non-coding RNA of Stegastes partitus (bicolor damselfish), 857 nucleotides long. RefSeq lists it as uncharacterized. The record is from RefSeq and is a predicted model, not a curated record. The transcript is spliced from 3 exons. NCBI's taxonomy places the organism in Eukaryota, Metazoa, Chordata, Actinopteri, Pomacentridae.